CCUGCUCAAUGAAUAUUAAAUAGCUGCAGUUUCUGUACUAAGGUAGCAUAAUAAUUUGCCUUUUAAUUUGAGGAUAGAAUGAAUGGGUUAAUGAGGUUACUGCUGUCUCUACAUUAAAAAUAAAAAUUUAUUUAAAAGUGAAAAAGCUUUUAUAAAAUAAAAAGACAAAAAGACCCUAUUGAGCUUAUUUAUUAAUAGUAAAAUUAAUAAAUUUUGUUGGGGCAACAUAAAUUUUAUAAUUCAAUUUAAAAUUUUAAGAAAUAAUUCUAUACUAUAAUCCAAUUAUAUUGAAUAAAUAAAAGUUACCAUAGGGAUAACAGGCUUAUUUUCUUAGAGAGUUCAAAUCGAUAAGAAAGUUUGGCACCUCGAUGUUGGCUUAUAAUUUCUUCUUGAAGCAACAUUUAAG
RNAcentral lists this ribosomal RNA (406 nucleotides) under Endomyzostoma sp. 3 DL-2005. Its description in RNAcentral is "partial 16S ribosomal RNA". It matches the Rfam family "Bacterial large subunit ribosomal RNA", at positions 1858 to 2566 of the family's 2925-position model. Lineage: Eukaryota; Metazoa; Annelida; Myzostomida; Endomyzostomatidae. The record is from RNAcentral.